This 832-nucleotide ribosomal RNA is filed under the name Citrobacter sp. NCCP-610. RNAcentral's name for it is "bacterial SSU rRNA". It matches the Rfam family "Bacterial small subunit ribosomal RNA", at positions 559 to 1390 of the family's 1533-position model. The record is from RNAcentral. Lineage: Bacteria; Pseudomonadati; Pseudomonadota; Gammaproteobacteria; Enterobacterales; Enterobacteriaceae.
CGUAAGCGCACGCAGGCGGUCUGUCAAGUCGGAUGUGAAAUCCCCGGGCUCAACCUGGGAACUGCAUUCGAAACUGGCAGGCUAGAGUCUUGUAGAGGGGGGUAGAAUUCCAGGUGUAGCGGUGAAAUGCGUAGAGAUCUGGAGGAAUACCGGUGGCGAAGGCGGCCCCCUGGACAAAGACUGACGCUCAGGUGCGAAAGCGUGGGGAGCAAACAGGAUUAGAUACCCUGGUAGUCCACGCCGUAAACGAUGUCGACUUGGAGGUUGUGCCCUUGAGGCGUGGCUUCCGGAGCUAACGCGUUAAGUCGACCGCCUGGGGAGUACGGCCGCAAGGUUAAAACUCAAAUGAAUUGACGGGGGCCCGCACAAGCGGUGGAGCAUGUGGUUUAAUUCGAUGCAACGCGAAGAACCUUACCUACUCUUGACAUCCAGAGAACUUUCCAGAGAUGGAUUGGUGCCUUCGGGAACUCUGAGACAGGUGCUGCAUGGCUGUCGUCAGCUCGUGUUGUGAAAUGUUGGGUUAAGUCCCGCAACGAGCGCAACCCUUAUCCUUUGUUGCCAGCGGUUAGGCCGGGAACUCAAAGGAGACUGCCAGUGAUAAACUGGAGGAAGGUGGGGAUGACGUCAACUCAUCAUGGCCCUUACGAGUAGGGCUACACACGUGCUACAAUGGCUCAUACAAAGAGAAGCGACCUCGCGAGAGCAAGCGUACCUCAUAAAGUGCGUCGUAGUCCGGAUUGGAGUCUGCCACUCGACUCCAUGAAUUCGGAAUCGCUAGUAAUCGUAAAUCAGAAUGCUACGAGUGAAUACGUUCCCGGUUCCUUGUACACGG